GACGAACGCUGGCGGCGUGCUUAACACAUGCAAGUCGAACGGAAAGGCCUGCUUUCCCUUGUGGAUUGCGGGUACUCGAGUGGCGAACGGGUGAGUAACACGUGAGUGAUCUGCCCCCAACUUGGGUAUAAGCCUGGGAAACUGGGUCUAAUUCCCGAUAGGACUGCAGGGUGGUGCCUGUGGUGGAAAACGAUUUUCUAGUGGUUGGGGAUGAGCUCGCGGCCUAUCAGCUUGUUGGUGGGGUAAUGGCCUACCAAGGCGGCGACGGGUAGCCGGCCUGAGAGGGUGGACGGCCACAUUGGGACUGAGAUACGGCCCCGACUCCUACGGGAGGCAGCAGUGGGGAAGAUUGCACAAUGGGCGGAAGCCUGAUGCAGCGACGCCGCGUGGGGGAUGACGGCCUUCGGGUUGUAAACUCCUUUCGACCGCGAGGAAGCCACCUGGUUGGAAGGGUGGUGACGGUAGUGGUAGAAGAAGCACCGGCUAACUACGUG
This 494-nucleotide ribosomal RNA is filed under the name uncultured bacterium. RNAcentral describes it as "partial 16S ribosomal RNA". It matches the Rfam family "Bacterial small subunit ribosomal RNA", at positions 28 to 507 of the family's 1533-position model. The record is from RNAcentral.